This is a long non-coding RNA of Varanus komodoensis (Komodo dragon), 961 nucleotides long. RefSeq lists it as uncharacterized. The transcript is spliced from 4 exons. Lineage: Eukaryota; Metazoa; Chordata; Lepidosauria; Squamata; Varanidae. The record is from RefSeq and is a predicted model, not a curated record.
AUUUUGUGGCGCUGGGUAGGGGCGCGGAUGGGGGAGGGGAGGAGAGGAAGGCUUCGCUGAGAGACGGUGAAGACGGGCACGGGCUUCCCUUCCCUCACACACACACGGCGCAAGAUGGCCGGGGAGGCAGCAGCUGCGGUCGGCUGCUGCCGCUGCCCUCCUUCCGCGGGCGCUGCGCUGCCCUCGCCCUUCCCUGGCCCGCGACGGCCCGCGGCUCGGGGGGCUCCGGCCGGGGCCCACCCCGGCUCGCGAGGGGUGGGGAGGUCCGUCCCGCCUCGCACGGAGGCGCGGGGCGGAUCGACGGCGAUGGAACCCCCAAGAGGCAGCUGAGGCGGCGGCCGGGCUGGCUCGGCUCGCCGCGCGGCUGCCUUGCAGGGGCGGCCGCGGGAAGCGCCGGCGUGGCGGCCCCCGCUCGGCGUGCCUGAGCCGCUCCCCUCGCCUCUCCGCUGAGGAUGGUAUUCUGCAAAUGUUUACCACUUCCAUAUGUAGUGGCUUUCAAGGGCUGUGCAGAAUGCUUUUUUAAGGUUUGCAUCAGGCUCUGAUUUCUGGAAAGAUUCAUAUAGAGCUUGAAGAGAACAUGAUGAUUGGUUCAGAGACCAGACAAAGGAAGAAUCUGAAAGGGAGACCACGAGUUCCAAAUCAAGAUGGCAGUUCUACUGAUUGAGAGGUUGAGGAAAUGAACUAAUGCAUGAUUGCUGAUUAUGUCCAUCCAAGACAGGGACACUUUAGCAUGGACUACGGUGUUUUCUAAACCAGAGAAGAUUUGGGCUAAUGACUGUGUGAUCAAUGUUUUUUUUUAUUAAAUAAUUCCAGUAUCUCGUACAAGAACUCAUUUGGAAGUGGAGGGAUGGAAUGGAUUGGCUAAAUUUCCAAACCAGGAUGUAUACAUAUGUUUGUGCCCAUUUUAUAUGACAGAAGUGCAAUGCUAUUUUAAAAGUUAAAUAAAAGUGUUUUUUUUACA